GAUGAACGCUGGCGGCGUGCCUAAUACAUGCAAGUCGAGCGAACAGACGAGGAGCUUGCUCCUCUGACGUUAGCGGCGGACGGGUGAGUAACACGUGGAUAACCUACCUAUAAGACUGGGAUAACUUCGGGAAACCGGAGCUAAUACCGGAUAAUAUAUUGAACCGCAUGGUUCAAUAGUGAAAGACGGUUUUGCUGUCACUUAUAGAUGGAUCCGCGCCGCAUUAGCUAGUUGGUAAGGUAACGGCUUACCAAGGCAACGAUGCGUAGCCGACCUGAGAGGGUGAUCGGCCACACUGGAACUGAGACACGGUCAAGACUCCUACGAGAGGCAGCAGUAGGGAAUCUUCCGCAAUGGGCGAAAGCCUGACGGAGCAACGCCGCGUGAGUGAUGAAGGUCUUCGGAUCGUAAAACUCUGUUAUUAGGGAAGAACAAAUGUGUAAGUAACUAUGCACGUCUUGACGGUACCUAAUCAGAAAGCCACGGCUAACUACGUG
This 497-nucleotide ribosomal RNA is filed under the name uncultured bacterium. RNAcentral describes it as "partial 16S ribosomal RNA". It matches the Rfam family "Bacterial small subunit ribosomal RNA", at positions 28 to 507 of the family's 1533-position model. The record is from RNAcentral.